Molecule: ribosomal RNA, 497 nt
Filed under: uncultured bacterium
Lineage: Bacteria
Description: partial 16S ribosomal RNA
Rfam family: Bacterial small subunit ribosomal RNA
Source: RNAcentral
GAUGAACGCUGGCGGCGUGCCUAAUACAUGCAAGUCGAGCGAACGGACGAGAAGCUUGCUUCUCUGAUGUUAGCGGCGGACGGGUGAGUAACACGUGGAUAACCUACCUAUAAGACUGGGAUAACUUCGGGAAACCGGAGCUAAUACCGGAUAAUAUUUUGAACCGCAUGGUUCAAAAGUGAGAGACGGUCUUGCUGUCACUUAUAGAUGGAUCCGCGCUGCAUUAGCUAGUUGGUAAGGUAACGGCUUACCAAGGCAACGAUGCAUAGCCGACCUGAGAGGGUGAUCGGCCACACUGGAACUGAGACACGGUCCAGACUCCUACGGGAGGCAGCAGUAGGGAAUCCUCCGCAAUGGGCGAAAGCCUGACGGAGCAACGCCGCGUGAGUGAUGAAGGUCUUCGGAUCGUAAAACUCUGUUAUUAGGGAAGAACAUAUGUGUAAGUAACUGCGCACAUCUUGACGGUACCUAAUCAGAAAGCCACGGCUAACUACGUG